UUUAACUGAGCGUUCAGUUACUUGACGUAGACCCGAAACCGGGCGACCUACCCAUGAGCAGGAUGAAGCGAAAGUAAAAUUUCGUGGAGGUCCGAACCCACGAGCGUUGAAAAGCUCGGGGAUGACUUGUGGGUAGCGGUGAAAUUCCAAUCGAGCCCGGAGAUAGCUGGUUCUCCCCGAAAUAGCUUUAGGGCUAGCCUCAAGGUGAGAGAUACGGAGGUAGAGCACUGAAUGUCCUAGGGGGUAUUGCACCUACCGAAGACUAUCAAACUCCGAAUGCCGUCAUCUUAUACUUGGGAGUCAGACUGUGGGUGAUAAGAUUCAUAGUCGAAAGGGCAACAGCCCAGAUCGUCAGCUAAGGUCCCUAAAUGUAAGUUAAGUGGUAAAGGAUGUGGGAUUGCACAGACAACCAGGAUGUUGGCUUAGAAGCAGCCACUCAUUCAAAGAGUGCGUAAUAGCUCACUGGUCGAGUGAUCCUGCGCCGAAGAUUUCCGGGGCUAAAACUUACUACCGAAGCUACGGCAUCAGUAAUGAUGGGUAGGGGAGCUUCCCAUACGGGUUGAAGCAUGACCGUAAGGACAUGUGGACAGUAUGGGAGUGAGAAUGUUGGCAUGAGUAGCGAGAUGUGGGU
RNAcentral lists this ribosomal RNA (631 nucleotides) under Clostridioides difficile. Its description in RNAcentral is "partial 23S ribosomal RNA". It matches the Rfam family "Bacterial large subunit ribosomal RNA", at positions 683 to 1322 of the family's 2925-position model. Lineage: Bacteria; Bacillati; Bacillota; Clostridia; Peptostreptococcales; Peptostreptococcaceae. The record is from RNAcentral.